GUGAAUCAUCAAAUUUUUGAACGCAAAUUGCACUCUCUGGUAUUCCGGAGAGUAUGCCUGUUUGAGGGUCAGUUUAAAUAAAAAUCGGUGUGGUUGCUGCCUUUCGUGGUGACGCACCGGAUGUGUGUCGUCUUGCCUUCGGUUAAGUGACCUAAAAUUUUGCAUGAUUUUUUCGAACGUAUUUAAAUGAUUUAACUUCCGUUUCCGUUAUCGAAUAUUAGGUUUGUUCA
This 230-nucleotide unclassified non-coding RNA is filed under the name Glomeraceae sp. RNAcentral describes it as "partial contains 5.8S ribosomal RNA and internal transcribed spacer 2". The stretch from base 1 to 71 matches the Rfam family "5.8S ribosomal RNA", at positions 84 to 154 of the family's 154-position model. The record is from RNAcentral. Lineage: Eukaryota; Fungi; Glomeromycota; Glomeromycetes; Glomerales; Glomeraceae.